CCACUGGAUGACGAAGAGAUGGUCUCGUACAUCCUCACCGGACUCAACAUCGAAUUCAAUGCAAUCGUGUCCGCCAUUGUCGCGCGAGUUGAACCAAUCGCUAUAAGUGAAUUGUACACGCGGUUAUUAAGUUUUGAAA
Small nucleolar RNA from Phragmites australis (common reed), 139 nucleotides. RefSeq annotates it as small nucleolar RNA Z247. The transcript has a single exon. The record is from RefSeq and is a predicted model, not a curated record. Lineage: Eukaryota; Viridiplantae; Streptophyta; Magnoliopsida; Poales; Poaceae.